Molecule: ribosomal RNA, 486 nt
Filed under: uncultured bacterium
Lineage: Bacteria
Description: bacterial LSU rRNA
Rfam family: Bacterial large subunit ribosomal RNA
Source: RNAcentral
ACAGGGCGUUCAGUAGCUGGGCGUAGACCCGAAACCGGAUGAUCUAUCCAUGGCCAGGUUGAAGGUGCGGUAACACGCACUGGAGGACCGAACCCACUAGUGUUGCAAAACUAGGGGAUGAGCUGUGGAUAGGGGUGAAAGGCUAAACAAAUCCGGAGAUAGCUGGUUCUCCUCGAAAACUAUUUAGGUAGUGCCUCGUGUAUCACUCUCGGGGGUAGAGCACUGUAAUCGUUGGGGGGGUCGUCUAGAUCUACCCCGCGAUAGCAAACUCCGAAUACCGAGAAGUGCAAGCACGGGAGACAGACAUCGGGUGCUAACGUCCGGUGUCAAGAGGGAAACAACCCAGACCGCCAGCUAAGGUCCCUAAUAUGUGCUAAGUGGUAAACGAAGUGGGAAGGCAUAGACAGCUAGGAAGUUGGCUUAGAAGCAGCCAUCCUUUAAAGAAAGACGUAAUAGCUCACUAGUCGAGUCGUCCUGCGCGGAAGA